This 463-nucleotide ribosomal RNA is filed under the name Actinomyces sp. oral taxon 180. Its description in RNAcentral is "bacterial SSU rRNA". It matches the Rfam family "Bacterial small subunit ribosomal RNA", at positions 28 to 489 of the family's 1533-position model. The record is from RNAcentral. Lineage: Bacteria; Bacillati; Actinomycetota; Actinomycetes; Actinomycetales; Actinomycetaceae.
GACGAACGCUGGCGGCGUGCUUAACACAUGCAAGUCGAACGCUGAAGCCUGGCUUUUGUUGGGUGGAUGAGUGGCGAACGGGUGAGUAACACGUGAGUAACCUGCCCCCUUCUUUGGGAUAACGCCCGGAAACGGGUGCUAAUACUGGAUAUUCACUGGUCUUCGCAUGGGGGUUGGUGGAAAGGGUUUUCUGGUGGGGGAUGGGCUCGCGGCCUAUCAGCUUGUUGGUGGGGUGAUGGCCUACCAAGGCUUUGACGGGUAGCCGGCCUGAGAGGGUGACUGGUCACAUUGGGACUGAGAUACGGCCCAGACUCCUACGGGAGGCAGCAGUGGGGAAUAUUGCACAAUGGGCGCAAGCCUGAUGCAGCGACGCCGCGUGAGGGAUGGAGGCCUUCGGGUUGUGAACCUCUUUCGCUCAUGGUCAAGCCGCAACUGUGGGUUGUGGAGAGGUAGUGGUAAAGAA